GAUGAACGCUGGCGGCGUGCCUAAUACAUGCAAGUCGAGCGAACGGACGAGAAGCUUGCUUCUCUGAUGUUAGCGGCGGACGGGUGAGUAACACGUGGAUAACCUACCUAUAAGACUGGGAUAACUUCGGGAAACCGGAGCUAAUACCGGAUAAUAUUUUGAACCGCAUGGUUCAAAAGUGAAAGACGGUCUUGCUGUCACUUAUAGAUGGAUCCGCGCUGCAUUAGCUAGUUGGUAAGGUAACGGCUUACCAAGGCAACGAUGCAUAGCCGACCUGAGAGGGUGAUCGGCCACACUGGAACUGAGAAACGGUCCAGACUCCUACGGGAGGCAGCAGUAGGGAAUCUUCCGCGAUGGGCGAAAGCCUGACGGAGCAACGCCGCGUGAGUGAUGAAGGUCUUCGGAUCGUAAAACUCUGUUAUUAGGGAAGAACAUAUGUGUAAGUAACUGUGCACAUCUUGACGGUACCUAAUCAGAAAGCCACGGCUAACUACGUG
This 497-nucleotide ribosomal RNA is filed under the name uncultured bacterium. RNAcentral's name for it is "partial 16S ribosomal RNA". It matches the Rfam family "Bacterial small subunit ribosomal RNA", at positions 28 to 507 of the family's 1533-position model. The record is from RNAcentral.